This 369-nucleotide ribosomal RNA is filed under the name uncultured bacterium. Its description in RNAcentral is "bacterial SSU rRNA". It matches the Rfam family "Bacterial small subunit ribosomal RNA", at positions 527 to 896 of the family's 1533-position model. The record is from RNAcentral.
GUAGGGUGCGAGCGUUAAUCGGAAUUACUGGGCGUAAAGCGUGCGCAGGCGGUUCGUUGUGUCGGCGGUGAAAGCCCCGGGCUCAACCUGGGAAUGGCCGUUGAAACUGGCGAACUGGAGUGUGGCAGAGGGGGGUGGAAUUCCGCGUGUAGCAGUGAAAUGCGUAGAGAUGCGGAGGAACACCGAUGGCGAAGGCAGCCCCCUGGGCUGACACUGACGCUCAGGCACGAAAGCGUGGGGAGCAAACAGGAUUAGAUACCCUGGUAGUCCACGCCCUAAACGAUGUCGACUGGGUGUUGGGGAAGCGAUUUCCCAGUACCGUAGCUAACGCGUGAAGUCGACCGCCUGGGGAGUACGGUCGCAAGAGUA